AUGAGCUGGCCCGACCUGCCGGCCGAGCUCAUCGCGGGGAUCGCCUACAGGAUCACCUCGCACGCGGACCUCGCACGCUUCCGCUCGGUGUGCCCGUCAUGGCGCUCCGCCUCUGCAGAGCACGCCGCCUGUCGCCGCGUCCCGCUACUUCUCCUGCACACCGAAGACCACUUCGGCGUCAACCGCCGUCUCUGGUCCCUCGCUGACGACACCGUCGUGGAGGUCCCCGUCCCCGCCGUGCGCGUCUUCUCCUUCCUCUACGCCUCGCAUCAUGGCUGGAUGCUCGGCGUUGCCGACGACCUCUCGGCCACGCUGCUGCAUCCCUUCACCAGUGCGUCCGAGAGCCUACCCGCACUGCCGCCCUCCUUCCGGGACAACGGUCAGGAGAUCCUCUGUGACAUGGUAUGGGAUAAAUCGCCUGACGCCGUCAUGGUCUCGCCGGGAAUGGGCGCGUACUUCUGCCGGCUACGGCCCGGCGACGGACCGUGGAGCCCGGUCGGCGGCUGCUCGCAGGGCGCUAACCAUGUCAGCAGCAUCACCUACUGCGACGGCACGGUCUACCUUCUGGACGGGCGCGCCCACAGGGUGACGACCGUGGACGCUGAAACCUUCGACGUUGCCGCCGUGAUCGAGCCACCGGACAUGGCCGCGCCACCCCACACCUGGCUCGAACCCGAGUCCGCCCUCAUCGUCUCGUCCGGGGAGCUGCUUCUGAUCGUCAGGACGCACCUCAUGUUCGAACCAUUCUUCCACGGCUCGGACUGCCUCUUCAAAGCCUUCCGCGCGGACGGCCGGAGCCCGGCGGCCGCGUGGUCGGAGAUCGCCGGGGCGACAUCGGCGAGCGCGCCGUGUUCGUGGACCACCUCCGAUGGUUCUGCAUCGAGGCCAACGGGGUCAACGGGGUGCGGCGGAACUGCAUCUACGUGGCCAGCUCGUACGAGGAGUUCACCGAUGAGUACCUGGUGGACGGCUACGGGAGCUACACCGUGUCCGUGCUCGACUUGGACGACCUCACUACCCAGUCCCUCUCGCUCGUGA
RNAcentral lists this ribosomal RNA (1038 nucleotides) under Triticum aestivum (bread wheat). RNAcentral describes it as "partial small subunit ribosomal RNA". Lineage: Eukaryota; Viridiplantae; Streptophyta; Magnoliopsida; Poales; Poaceae. The record is from RNAcentral.